This is a long non-coding RNA of Triticum aestivum (bread wheat), 3486 nucleotides long. RefSeq lists it as uncharacterized. Lineage: Eukaryota; Viridiplantae; Streptophyta; Magnoliopsida; Poales; Poaceae. The transcript is spliced from 4 exons. The record is from RefSeq and is a predicted model, not a curated record.
CUAUGCCCCGCAGUAAAACAGAAAGUAAACCGCCCGCCCGCACGACCUCCUCCUCCUCCUCCCGCAGCCGCGCCGUUCGCCUCCCGCAGCCGCGCCCUUCACCGCCUCCUCGCGCCGCCGGAGCCACGGGAAGCGGCCGCGGGUCGCCAGGAGCCUCCCCGACCGCGGGAGCCCGCCCCGCUCCCGCCGCGGCUCGUCGGGAGCCUCCCCUGCCGCCGAAGCCGCCCCGCCGCAGCUUGGCCUCCGCCACUCCGCCACUCCGCCGGAGCGAGUCUCUCUCCUCUUCUCUUGGGAUGGGACGCCUUCUCUCCUCUGCUCCCAGCCGGAUCCAAUCCACCUCGCCCCAGCAUGCAGCCACGGAAGGCCAGGUCCGUGCGCCUCUUUCCCAUGGCCAUGGAGUCGCCGCAGCCGCCAUGGAAUGCCUGGAUGUCGUCAAGAUGCACGCAGGUGCAGCACCUACACCGAUGGCUGCUCUUGAGACACAGACAACAUAGGAGAGGACAAGUCCAGAAUUGCUAGACUGAAUCUAUCCAUCUGCUCUGCUCUCGGGACAACAGAGGAGAGGACGAGUCCAGAAUUGCUUGACUGAAUCUAUCCAUCUGCUCAGCUCAGUUCAUGCAGAGGCUAGAGACAUAGCAAUCGUCAGGCUUCAGUUUUGUACUGACCACUCCAAGGCUUGUUCAACCUGGUGAAUCUUUCCUUCAUCUGCAUCAUUUUUCGCUUCAGUCUGUACAUCCUCGCCCUCCGCACAUCCUCGCCCUCCGCCCGCCGAUCCUAUUCUCCGCCGCCCGCCUUCCUCUGCUCAUCCUCUGCCGCCGCCGAUCUCAUCUGAGCCAGUAAGUUUUCUUUACAUUCAAGUGUGCAUUGUUUGAACAACAUGCUUGUGGUUCUAUUCUUUCCACACAAGAUAAUCUGAUACAUACAUGAUCCUUCUGGUUAUGAUUAUUUUAGUGCAUACAUACAUGAUUCUACCACACAGCAGGAACAAUUAUUCUGGAACAAUUGCCGUAUGUGAAUUAUCAUGAUCCAACGCCAAUGCCACACUCAGCGCCAAAAGGGUUACAGUUUAUGAGGACAUAUUUAAUUAGUGAGGAUUUCAGAAAUUUGUAGUCCAAGCAACUCAUACAUUUGAAGUUUUGUUGCUUACCUUCCCAUCCCAUUGUGUUGCUAUGCUCCUGAAGUUGCCUAACUACAGGAAAGGAGGCCAAAGUUUUGCUAUAUUGGGUUAUCCACAAUAGUAUCGGCAGCGAUGUUUUGUUUUGUCACAACUACUCAAAUAUAUAAUCUAAAUAAUCUAAAUAUAUAAUCUGCACAUUGUAGUUUGAGUUAAAAAAUAGCACAUUGUAGUUUUAAUUUUAUUUUUUUUAAAACCCACGUGUUUUGUUGUUUCAAGAGAUUGAGUCAUGGGCUGUGAGCAAGCAUUAUAUAUUGACAUGAAAGGUAGAUCUAUUUAGAUCAUGAAGGUUUGCGCACCGUGAUGCAAAGGCCGUAUGCAUCGACGAGGCGAAGGUGGGGCUUACCGGGAUGGGUUGAGAGGAGGCAGUGGAGAGAGGAAAUGGGAGAGGCGGAUGGUGAAUAUAGGAGGUGAAAAAGGAUGCAUCUACUUAGUCCUUCUGUUGAAUGCAUAAAAGGCACCCUGCAGCCUCUCUGCUUGCAAAAUAGAUGCUCUCUGCUUGGUACACUCAUGACAUUAAACCUUUCAUCUCCAGUUAGAGAUGCAACUUGAAUUGACCUAAAAAAUUCUAUUUUUGAGUAUUACCUUCUUCCACACCUCUGCAACAUCUUCUGAAGCCUCUACUCUUAACCAGUAUGCUGCUAUCACUUUCUCAAAUUUUAUACGGGAAAAUAAUGUAGUAGUUUUUUUAAAAAAAUUGUGCAAGCUAAUAUGUUUCAAGAUUCAUGAAACAUAUGUUUCAACAUUCAAAAGUUUACAUAAAAACCAUAUGCGGCAAAACUAAAUGACAUUUUGAAAUAUAUAAUUUUGACAGAAUGAAAACAAAUUCAGUUUCCUCUUCCUCCCUAACUACGCAUACUUUAUUUCUACAGGUACAAAUAUUGCCACUCAUCAACAUCUGCAGCAUCUAAGGUCCUUUUCGUCACAUAUUCAUAUUUACUUGAGAUUCUGCUUACUUUGUUUGCACCAUUUAAUAAUUGAGCUUCUCAAUAUUGCAUGAAUAUUUCUAAUGAUGUACGAUGUUCCCCAUUUCUUUAACAUCCCUGGCAUGUGUGUGCUCCAUUAGUGAAUGACAAAUUUCUGAAUUUUUGUGAUGAACAAUGUUUACGUUCGUUUAGGCAGCUCACCGGCAUCCAUCAUGGUUUGCUAUUUUAGAAUUAAUCAAGAUUACCUUUCAGGCUUCUUCCGUUGCCUAGCUAAUUCCCUCCUUGUAGGCCAUGUUGUGGUCUGAAAUUGAACGUAUACAUAUGAUCCUGGUUUUUCUACACCGCCAACUUUACUAUUGAUUAUUCCUAGAACCUUAAGUUGAUCUGAAUAGACAUAGCGAAGUAGAUGCAAACUUCAGGAUAAAAGCAUGUAUAUCAUGGAAUGAUAGGAAGAGGGCUCUGAGCUAGACAUGUUGAUUAUACUGUUUAAUGUUAGCUCCAUCAAUACUGAUACAUAUACAAUUUCCUGUUGUAGAUAGGUAAAUAUUUUGCAAGUAAUGUAAUUUGGUAAAUAAGCUAAAGUAUUAACCUUACUGCUAUCUCAAAGUAUGAUGCGAUUAUUCAGUAUCCAUUGCCUGAUAUAGUCAGUCAGAGGCAUCAAAUCAAAUCUCCCUUAAAUGAUUAAAUCAUUUAACUGCACAUCACAAGUAUCAGCCUCCAUCUGCCACCAAUAUUGCAAGAAACAAGGCAUGCUGAUCUAAUAACCAUCUUUAUAUAUAUUUUUAACCUAACAAGUGAGCUGAUGAUCAGGAAAUCAUGUUUAACUAUCAAUAAAUGAUCCCAUUUCUUGGUUCAGUGAAGUGAUUAUGUGGAUCUUGUGAGGAAAACAGAUAGGCCAAGAAGCCUGGGAGGUUGUCUACAGUCACUGGCCUGGUGGGUUUGAGGCGACACGGGCCUGCCUGGCUCACCUUCGUCUUCUUCCUCGCCCUGCCACACACAGGAACAUAGGAGGGAGCAGCGGAGGGGCGUUGCCGCAACGGGCCGACCGGGCGGGAGGCACCGGCGGGCUCGGGAGGAUGCGUUGCACUCGUCCAGACGGAGAGUAGGCGCCGGGGAAGACCAGGGCAGCCGCGGCUUGAGGCGACAAAGGGCAAGGGCGGGCGGCAGCCGGACUUGGGGGCAGCUGCCACAGGCACUCCGGCGGCGAGAUUGUCACACCGGUGCUGCAUACCACCGUGUGACUGCCAGUUGGCAUGCCAAGUGUAAGCGUGUGUGGUCCCACAUGUAAGCCGCUAGGGCCAGGAGCCAGUAGGUGUGCGUGUGUACUUAAGCCCUGGAGAUGGGCGUGUAUCGCAAGUCUGAAGAAGUAAACUAUUUCCCCUCCUC